AGGCGGUGGGACUUUUGUAACUGGAAACUGGAAAAUCAGAGACGUUUAAAUUACCACUAGGAUGCAAACGGCAGCCUUCUCCAGGACGAAGUGAGGGGAGAGCCGGCUGCCUGGCCGAAUUAGUUCGUAAGCAUCCCGCGGGGACCUCUUAUUUUUUCCUGAGACACCGUGGCACACGCCUCCACCCCCGGUGCCUGGGCUGUGCGCUCGAGAUGUUGGCUUUCGUGCUUCAGACUCUGCAGGGCGAUUGUGAGACGUCCAGUCGACGGAAGCAGCUCUUGAGGACAGAACUCGCUGCGGUGAGAGCCUGAUAGUAAUUACUCGGAGGGAAAUUACAGCUCUUCUCCCUGAGAAAGUCUGUUGAAUCUACCGGGAGAACCAUCAUGGGGGGUGGCCACCGAUUUGUCUCUCCAUGAAGACUGCAAAACUCAG
This is a non-coding RNA of Equus caballus (horse), 432 nucleotides long. Lineage: Eukaryota; Metazoa; Chordata; Mammalia; Perissodactyla; Equidae. The record is from RefSeq and is a predicted model, not a curated record.